Peromyscus leucopus (white-footed mouse) is the source of this 1157-nucleotide long non-coding RNA. RefSeq lists it as uncharacterized. The transcript has 3 exons. NCBI's taxonomy places the organism in Eukaryota, Metazoa, Chordata, Mammalia, Rodentia, Cricetidae. The record is from RefSeq and is a predicted model, not a curated record.
UUGUCGUUCUUGAAGAAGGAUCUUAGUCAGUAGUGGUUUUCCAGAACAAAACCACAGAAAACAUCCUGGCUGUUUAAAUACAGAGUGGGGCUCCAGUCUGGAGAGCUUCCCAUGGGUAUGCUUUGGGGGUGAAUCAGGUCCAAACAUCUCCCAGGUCAUCGGAUGGCACCGCCUCCCUGAUCCUCCACACUUCUGUCAGUCAAUGGUGCCGUUUCAGGGGCCAUGGAGUUGGAUGAAGAGGGCUAAGGACCACGCAUUCCUGCCCACUCUGCCCACCAGACUCCUCGGGAGCUCAGGGAGGAGGCAAGUGUGCCUGGUCUUCUCUGGCUACUCCCCAGAUCUUCUCUGGGAGAUGGCAUCUCUGAGCCCACACAGCAAAUGAGAACUCUGGACAGAGAGCCAGUGUGCUAAGGCAAUGCUUUCGAAUGCACAGUCUAGACCUGGUGACAUGGAUAAGAUCUAUAUAGCUGGUUGGAAUGAGAAGGGCCAGUGAAGGCAUUAAAACUUCAUUGGUCAAGAAACAGCAGGACAUACAGCAAGAACCAACAGAGCCCUGGAGCGGUUUGUGUUUAUUCUUCCCAGACUCUCUAAGUGGACUUAGAGAAUCCAUUCAACGAAGGCACUCCAGUCUGAAGAGAAGAAGGCUGAUGUCACCUGCAGCUUGGAAACUGGCUCUACCCCACCCAGCUCCUCCUGGGCCUAGGUAGAGAGAGAAGAUGGGGAUGCAGGCUGGGGAUGGAAGAACUGUACACCCAUUAAAAACGAGUUUAAAAUGGUUUUAACUGAAGAAUUUGUGGAAAGUGCAGCAGCCGAGUUAAGAUUGCUGAGCUGCGUUCUCACUGAUGGAUUCGUUCGGAGCUGGCCUUUUGGGAUCUGAUCAUUCAGUCCUCACCAUAACAGCCCCGAUGUUCAGCCCACGCUCCUGCUGGAGGAUACGCCUGCUCAUCCAGCCCGUCUUACCUUCUUAGGGGAAACCAGAUUAUUGGAGCCCUCAGACAGCACCCGCUCCUGAAAAGAAAUGGAACACAUUUUAUUGGCACAGCCAAGAUGAAGUAUGUCUUGAAAUCUGUUUUACAAAUAAACUCGCACAUAAAUUGUCCAUUCGCUGCUCGGAAGCCCCCCUCCCCCUUUUUUUGAAGAGCUGUCAGAGGUCCCUA